CAGCAGCCGCGGUAAUACGUAGGUGGCAAGCGUUGUCCGGAAUUAUUGGGCGUAAAGCGCAUGUAGGCGGUAAUUUAAGUCUGUCGUGAAACUGCGGGGCUCGGCCCCGUAUGGCGAUGGAAACUGGGUUACUUGAGUGCAGGAGAGGAAAGGGGAACUCCCAGUGUAGCGGUGAAAUGCGAAGAUAUUGGGAAGAACACCGGUGGCGAAGGCGCCUUUCUGGACUGUGUCUGACGCUGAGAUGCGAAAGCCAGGGUAGCGAACGGGAUUAGAUACCCCGGUAUUGACGGCCGCAAGGCUUAAACUCAAAGAAAGUCCUGGCCGUAAACGAUGGGUACUAGGUGUGGGAGGUAUCGACCCCUUCCGUGCCGGAGUUAACGCAAUAAGUACCCCGCUUGGGGAGUACGG
RNAcentral lists this ribosomal RNA (408 nucleotides) under uncultured rumen bacterium. Its description in RNAcentral is "bacterial SSU rRNA". It matches the Rfam family "Bacterial small subunit ribosomal RNA", at positions 509 to 885 of the family's 1533-position model. The record is from RNAcentral.